Vicia faba (fava bean) is the source of this 401-nucleotide non-coding RNA. NCBI's taxonomy places the organism in Eukaryota, Viridiplantae, Streptophyta, Magnoliopsida, Fabales, Fabaceae. The record is from the annotation of a GenBank genome assembly.
CCGUGAACAAUGUACAAGAGCAUGUCAGCUGCCUCGUCCUCCAGUUAGAAGGUUCGUUUAGCUUUUGGUAUAGGUAUACCAAACAACCAGCCCCCCCGGUUUCACUCACUAAUUGUGUCCAAAUCAAUGAAGUACUUGAGGAAUGUCACAUCAACGUAGUUAGCACUUUUGUCCACAAAAAUAGACGUGUCAACCAUGAACAAGAAGUAACACCUCAAAACACACUCGCUGUGGUAUUAAACAAAGAGCUCAUUGACCUCGAUCUCCGAAAAUGUUGUCCACAUAGGUGCUCGCCAUAUAAGUCGCUCAAGAAAGAGAACUUGGCGCGAGCCCCAUUAGUUGAGACACACCGUUCAUGUGCCUUUUCGAAUCAGCUCCCAAAUAUUCAACCAUCCAUUUAA